RNAcentral lists this ribosomal RNA (497 nucleotides) under uncultured bacterium. Its description in RNAcentral is "partial 16S ribosomal RNA". It matches the Rfam family "Bacterial small subunit ribosomal RNA", at positions 28 to 507 of the family's 1533-position model. The record is from RNAcentral.
GAUGAACGCUGGCGGCGUGCCUAAUACAUGCAAGUCGAGCGAACGGACGAGAAGCUUGCUUCUCUGAUGUUAGCGGCGGACGGGUGAGUAACACGUGGACAACCUACCUAUAAGACUGGGAUAACUUCGGGAAACCGGAGCUAAUACCGGAUAAUAUUUUGAACCGCAUGGUUCAAAAGUGAAAGACGGUCUCGCUGUCACUUAUAGAUGGAUCCGCGCUGCAUUAGCUAGUUGGUAAGGUAACGGCUUACCAAGGCAACGAUGCAUAGCCGACCUGAGAGGGUGAUCGGCCACACUGGAACUGAGACACGGUCCAGACUCCUACGGGAGGCAGCAGUAGGGAAUCUUCCGCAAUGGGCGAAAGCCUGACGGAGCAACGCCGCGUGAGUGAUGAAGGUCUUCGGAUCGUAAAACUCUGUUAUUAGGGAAGAACAUAUGUGUAAGUAACUGUGCACAUCUUGACGGUACCUAAUCAGAAAGCCACGGCUAACUACGUG